RNAcentral lists this ribosomal RNA (329 nucleotides) under Salmonella enterica subsp. enterica serovar Heidelberg. RNAcentral's name for it is "bacterial LSU rRNA". It matches the Rfam family "Bacterial large subunit ribosomal RNA", at positions 454 to 783 of the family's 2925-position model. Lineage: Bacteria; Pseudomonadati; Pseudomonadota; Gammaproteobacteria; Enterobacterales; Enterobacteriaceae. The record is from RNAcentral. RNAcentral also lists the same sequence under 2 other names.
CAUCCUCCAAGGCUAAAUACUCCUGACUGACCGAUAGUGAACCAGUACCGUGAGGGAAAGGCGAAAAGAACCCCGGCGAGGGGAGUGAAAAAGAACCUGAAACCGUGUACGUACAAGCAGUGGGAGCACAGGUUUACCUGUGUGACUGCGUACCUUUUGUAUAAUGGGUCAGCGACUUAUAUUCUGUAGCAAGGUUAACCGUAUAGGGGAGCCGGAGGGAAACCGAGUCUUAACCGGGCGUUAAGUUGCAGGGUAUAGACCCGAAACCCGGUGAUCUAGCCAUGGGCAGGUUGAAGGUUGGGUAACACUAACUGGAGGACCGAACCGAC